GUCUGCUGUCUACUUUAUUUUGUCUUGAUGGAAGAUUAAUAAACUGACUUAAAAUUAAGAAAUAUUGCCUCUGGAGAAUAGUAUGGGAAGAUGGAACUAUCCUUACUUAGAUGCACCCUUAGCAUCUGGAACAGAGCAGGUGAUGAAUAUCUCUCUGGAUCCCAUUCCUGGCUCUCCAGAGCUAUUCUACUCUGCCAAAGAGACCUCCUCCCUCUGGAAGCUCCCUCCACUCCUGGACUUCUCAGACUGGGCACAUUCCACAACGGUAGCCACUUCCUCAGAUGGAUGCUUCACCUCAGCUCCCAGAACAGCACACCCAUGGAAACUGGGGAAUCAGACCAAUGGCGAAUUUCAAAAUGCCGAAAGGAUUCUUUUCUUUUCAUCGUACACCUAGAAUCUGAAAUUUCUCCCCCAUUGAGAAUAUGGAAACAAGGGUCUGACAUCUUGGACGUUAAGAAUAUUAUCAAUGGGGAAAGAGACUAACUGAAUCAAGGAAGAAAGCCCAGGAAAUAGAACUACUCUGGACCAGAGCCACUGGGGAGGGGGAGGACAAGUUAAUCUGACCAGGAAAAUCUGACAGCAAAUGAAUUUGUACUCAUUUAGAAAGUCUGAAUGCCUGCCUCCCAGUGACUGCCAUCUCUGGCUCCCUUUGCUGCUGGAAUACAGAAAAAGACCAGUUUGCUGGGGCUAGGAUUUCUUUGAGACCUGCAGUUUAGGGAAGAGUUGAGUGAAGGAAGAGAAAAGCCAUAUGGGAUAAAAGACAGACUAUCAGAGCUAGAGACAGCGUCAUGCCCUUUGGGGGCAAAGAAUCUGAAUUCAAAUCAUACUCUGCUAUGCAAUUUACUGCCAGUUUGGCUUUGGGGAAAAGUUCCACACCAGGCUUUUUCUCUGGCUGUCCCUCCUUCUCUGCUCUACUGGCCUCUCUGGCUUCCUUUAGGUCCCAACUAAAAUCUCAUCUUCUACAGAAGUGGUCUCCAACCUCUCUUAAUUCCAGUGCUUUUCUUCUUUUUAAUUUUUUUGUUUAAAUUCCAAGACUUUCCCUCCUUUUCUUAUUUCUCACUUAUGCUGAGUACAUUUGUUUUGGAUAUAUUUGUUUGCAUGUUAUCCUUCUCACUCAAUUAUAAGCUCCUCCAGGGCAGGACCUAUCUUUUGCCUCUUUU
Molecule: long non-coding RNA, 1160 nt
Filed under: Monodelphis domestica (gray short-tailed opossum)
Lineage: Eukaryota; Metazoa; Chordata; Mammalia; Didelphimorphia; Didelphidae
Description: lncRNA (ENSMODG00000035295.2)
Source: RNAcentral